AUUGAACGCUGGCGGCAGGCCUAACACAUGCAAGUCGAGCGGUAGCACAGAGAGCUUGCUCUCGGGUGACGAGCGGCGGACGGGUGAGUAAUGUCUGGGAAACUGCCUGAUGGAGGGGGAUAACUACUGGAAACGGUAGCUAAUACCGCAUAAUGUCGCAAGACCAAAGUGGGGGACCUUCGGGCCUCAUGCCAUCAGAUGUGCCCAGAUGGGAUUAGCUAGUAGGUGGGGUAACGGCUCACCUAGGCGACGAUCCCUAGCUGGUCUGAGAGGAUGACCAGCCACACUGGAACUGAGACACGGUCCAGACUCCUACGGGAGGCAGCAGUGGGGAAUAUUGCACAAUGGGCGCAAGCCUGAUGCAGCCAUGCCGCGUGUGUGAAGAAGGCCUUCGGGUUGUAAAGCACUUUCAGCGGGGAGGAAGGCGAUAAGGUUAAUAACCUUGUCGAUUGACGUUACCCGCAGAAGAAGCACCGGCUAACUCCGUGCCAGCAGCCGCGGUAAUACGGAGGGUGCAAGCGUUAAUCGGAAUUACUGGGCGUAAAGCGCACGCAGGCGGUCUGUCAAGUCGGAUGUGAAAUCCCCGGGCUCAACCUGGGAACUGCAUUCGAAACUGGCAGGCUAGAGUCUUGUAGAGGGGGGUAGAAUUCCAGGUGUAGCGGUGAAAUGCGUAGAGAUCUGGAGGAAUACCGGUGGCGAAGGCGGCCCCCUGGACAAAGACUGACGCUCAGGUGCGAAAGCGUGGGGAGCAAACAGGAUUAGAUACCCUGGUAGUCCACGCCGUAAACGAUGUCGAUUUGGAGGUUGUGCCCUUGAGGCGUGGCUUCCGGAGCUAACGCGUUAAAUCGACCGCCUGGGGAGUACGGCCGCAAGGUUAAAACUCAAAUGAAUUGACGGGGGCCCGCACAAGCGGUGGAGCAUGUGGUUUAAUUCGAUGCAACGCGAAGAACCUUACCUGGUCUUGACAUCCACAGAACUUUCCAGAGAUGGAUUGGUGCCUUCGGGAACUGUGAGACAGGUGCUGCAUGGCUGUCGUCAGCUCGUGUUGUGAAAUGUUGGGUUAAGUCCCGCAACGAGCGCAACCCUUAUCCUUUGUUGCCAGCGGUUCGGCCGGGAACUCAAAGGAGACUGCCAGUGAUAAACUGGAGGAAGGUGGGGAUGACGUCAAGUCAUCAUGGCCCUUACGACCAGGGCUACACACGUGCUACAAUGGCAUAUACAAAGAGAAGCGACCUCGCGAGAGCAAGCGGACCUCAUAAAGUAUGUCGUAGUCCGGAUUGGAGUCUGCAACUCGACUCCAUGAAGUCGGAAUCGCUAGUAAUCGUAGAUCAGAAUGCUACGGUGAAUACGUUCCCGGGCCUUGUACACACCGCCCGUCACACCAUGGGAGUGGGUUGCAAAAGAAGUAGGUAGCUUAACCUUCGGGAGGGCGCUUACCACUUUGUGAUUCAUGACUGGGGUGA
This 1463-nucleotide ribosomal RNA is filed under the name uncultured Klebsiella sp. RNAcentral describes it as "bacterial SSU rRNA". It matches the Rfam family "Bacterial small subunit ribosomal RNA". Lineage: Bacteria; Pseudomonadati; Pseudomonadota; Gammaproteobacteria; Enterobacterales; Enterobacteriaceae. The record is from RNAcentral.